RNAcentral lists this ribosomal RNA (497 nucleotides) under uncultured bacterium. Its description in RNAcentral is "partial 16S ribosomal RNA". It matches the Rfam family "Bacterial small subunit ribosomal RNA", at positions 28 to 507 of the family's 1533-position model. The record is from RNAcentral.
GGUGAACGCUGGCGGUAUGCCUAAUACAUGCAAGUCGAGCGAACAGAUAAUGAGCUUGCGCUUUUACCGUUAGCGGCGGACGGGUGAGUAACACGUGGGUCACAUUCUUCUUAGUCUGGGAUAACACCGGGGAACCGGUGCUAAUGCUGGCUCACACUUCGUACCGCUUGGUUCUGAAGUGCAUCAUGGCUUGGCUGUUUCUAUUAGACGGUCUCGCGCCGUAUUAGCUAGUUGGUAAGGUAACGGCUUACCAAGGCAACGAUACGUAGCUGACCUGAGAGGAUGAUCAGCCACACUGGAACUGAGACACGGUCCAGACUCCUACGGGAGGCAGCAGUGGGGAAUAUUCGGCAAUGGGCGAAAGCCUGACGGAGCAACGCCGCGUGAGUGAUGAAGGUCUUCGGAUCGUAAAACUCUUUUAUUGGGGAAGAACAAAUGUGGAAGAAACUGUGGACGUCUUGACGGUACCUAAUCAGAAAGCCACGGCUAACUACGUG